Molecule: long non-coding RNA, 666 nt
Filed under: Solanum tuberosum (potato)
Lineage: Eukaryota; Viridiplantae; Streptophyta; Magnoliopsida; Solanales; Solanaceae
Description: long non-coding RNA (STUB_LNC006880)
Source: RNAcentral
AUAAAUUAUCCUUACUCAUUUCUCCCCCUAAUACCUUUAAACCUUGUGAGACUCCUACUUAAUUCCGUAAGAGCAAAAAAGUGUUAUAUUUGCUUCUACUCUUUCAAGGAGGAGAUCGUGGAGGUGGUGGUGGAUACCAAGGAGGAGAUCGUGGAGGUAGCGGUGGAUACCAGGGAGGAGAUCGUGGAGGUCGCGGCGGCGGUCGUGGUGGAGGAAGUGGUAAGGAAGGUGAUUGGCGUUGCCCUAACCCAAGGUAAUAUUCUCACAUCCUUCUCGUGGAUAUCCAGGUCAUGAUAAAUUAUCCUUACUCAUUUCUCCCCCUAAUACCUUUAAACCUUGUGAGACUCCUACUUAAUUCCGUAAGAGCAAAAAAGUGUUAUAUUUGCUUCUACUCUUGAACCUAAAGCCAAUCGAUAGCGAGGCAGCGUUUGUUUGUGCAAUCUCAUUAAGCUGAAACAGAAGUUAAUUUUUGGAAAAUCAUGUUAUCUUAUCACUAGAAAUAUAUGAUUUCCUAUUUCAUAACUUGUAUGAAAUCCUGCUACUGAAUUGUCCAGCCAUUUUGCUCAAGAUAACCAGUGUUUCCGUGUGCAGGUUCACUAAGAAAUUUAUGUUUAGUCUUACUUUUUAGUUGGGUUAACCUUACACCUUUGUAUAACCCUGAACAAU